UACGUAGGGGGCUAGCGUUGUCCGGAAUCAUUGGGCGUAAAGCGCGUGUAGGCGGUCCGGUAAGUCCGCUGUGAAAGUCGGGGGCUCAACCCUCGGAUGCCGGUGGAUACUGUCGGGCUUGAGUACGGAAGAGGCGAGUGGAAUUCCUGGUGUAGCGGUGAAAUGCGCAGAUAUCAGGAGGAACACCAAUUGCGAAGGCAGCAUGCUGGGACGUUACUGACGCUGAGAACGCGAAAGCGUGGGGAGCAAACAGG
RNAcentral lists this ribosomal RNA (254 nucleotides) under uncultured bacterium. RNAcentral's name for it is "partial 16S ribosomal RNA". It matches the Rfam family "Bacterial small subunit ribosomal RNA", at positions 524 to 776 of the family's 1533-position model. The record is from RNAcentral.